GAAAUCCUCUGGUAACAGAUUGUUGAGAGCC
Molecule: small RNA, 31 nt
Filed under: Bombyx mori (domestic silkworm)
Lineage: Eukaryota; Metazoa; Arthropoda; Insecta; Lepidoptera; Bombycidae
Description: ovarian small RNA-15094
Source: RNAcentral